Long non-coding RNA from Dromaius novaehollandiae (emu), 2096 nucleotides. NCBI's taxonomy places the organism in Eukaryota, Metazoa, Chordata, Aves, Casuariiformes, Dromaiidae. The record is from Ensembl.
GCUGCCGCCGCCACCGCCGCCGCCCGGGCAGGAGGAGUUCUCCUUCCUCCCGCUCGUCCACGACAUCAUCAAAUGCAUGGACAAGGACAGCCAGGAUGUUCACCAGGUGCUGAAUGAGCUCAAGAACAAGUUCCAGGAGAUGAGGAAGCUGAUCAGCUCUAUGCCUGGCAUCAGCGUGAGCCCRGAACAGCAGCAGCAGCAGCUGCAGAACCUCCGGGAGCAGGUCCGGACCAAAAAUGAACUGCUGCAGAAGUACAAGAGCCUUUGCAUGUUUGAGAUCCCUAAGGAGUAGGAAGGGAGCAACUCUGCUCUCUGGGUCUGAGAUACUUCCUCGCCUGGCUGAACAGGCGAAAAGAAGGUGGCAGAAGUUUACUUUUCUUUGUUUUAUGCUUUUUUGUCGCAUUGCUUCAAACUUGUGCCUGUGUGGAUCACAGCUACGUGACACUGAACGAGGAGAACACUGUGUAUUUGUAUAUGCAUCUCUAUUCUGUUUUCUCUCAUGUUUUUUUUUUUCCAUUCAAGCAAGCAGGAGGCAUUAUGUUUUCCCCAUGCUAAGAGGCAAAUUACCUGCUGGUUAACUUCAACAGGAAAAAGGGGAUGUUUUCUGCAAUUUUUCUGCAAUUUUUUUUUUUACUUCUGAAAUGAAAACCGUGGCCAAACAUGAAAGGGAGCAAAAGAGGGAAGCAUGAGCUGUUUGGCCCUGCUGCUGGAAUGGGGAGAGCAUUGGGUCUCUGGGGGCACUUUGCAGUCUGUGUGUGUCGAAAGAGGAAUGAUUGCUUUCAGUUACUUUUAUAUUUCUCUCUCUUUCUCUCUCUCUCUCUCUUCUUUUUCUUUUUCUUUUUCUUUUUUUUUUGGAAAUAAGUGAUGGUUGUAUCUAAGAUGAGUCAAGUAAAGAUGUAGAAACUCCAGACUGCCUCUCUUGUGUCUGCACUGAGUGGAUGUGGGCUGAGCAAGAGCAGGCCUUUGGCAGCGCAGAGGAAGUGCGUAGGCCGGGCCCAGSUCCUGUGUCCUAACAUUGCUUUUUGGAAGCAGGGUGACUUAGGAGACCUAGCAGAGACUGCCAGAGGAGUGGAUUUCAACAGGUCCAGCUUGGCUGGCAGUACCACUGGGCACCUUAUUCUUAAAACAGAGGGAGGAAAAUCAGAAUCAAAGUAAAGGCCAUAAAUGGCAAGAGCUGUUAAGAGUUUCCAUAAAUGACCGACGCUCAACAGGGCAGGUCAGUUCCACGUCUCAGCAGCUCCAGGGGCUUUCCACAGAUGAACAUAGAGAGCGUUUGACUGUCAGUGGCUCAUGGAAAACCCUUGAACAGUGUAUCAUGUUCAGAGGGACCCUGGACUCUCUGCCCUCCUCAGCCUUAAGCUGCUGCAGUGUCAGAUGACAACCUGGUAAGUAGCGCUGCUGACUAACAAGACGUAAUGGGGCUCUGAAUCUCUUGUUUUGAACAUGACUCUGCGCUGCAUUGGUUGGAUCUCAAAUGUGCCUGCGAAGUACGCUUCUGUGAAUUACACCGAAAGACUGCGGAGAUGAGUGCAAUGCAAUUUCCCAUUGAUGCAGAAAACCAGGGUCAUGAUUUAGGAUCAUGUUCUAUUUUCAGAUCUCUGACACAUUGUGGAGAGGCACACAUGGCUGUGCGGCAAAUUUAAGCCAGCCAGCRAUAGGCUAGGCUCAGGUGGGUUCGUAGACCUUAGGCUGAAAACCGCUGCAGUAGUGGAAGAAGUGAAAAGCUAGUUAGUGAAAAAGAACAUCCAUGGAAAACUGGCAUCCAAGGACAGGUAAAAUUCGUGCCUUCGAAAGAGGAGGAGCAAAGUCUGUUCAGGUGAACUUUCCUCUUCUAAGCCAAGAGGCAAAUAAUUGUUUUGUGGGGGCUGGGAUCGGUGCAGCUCACCUGUUGCCUAGAGAUAACUCUGCCCCGAUGGAAUAUGCUACGAGCAAUUUCUCUGGGAAGGUGCCAGCGUGUAAACUUCUGCCUAAGCAAAACAGAGCACUAAGAUAUAGAAAACACAAUGUACACUUUUUAUUACUGAAAUUACCUUUCUACCAGCCAUUGCCCGUCCCAGUUCAAUAAAUUCUUCUGUCAAUUGCCUGGAGGGAGGUUU